AGAGUUUGAUCCUGGCUCAGGACGAACGCUGGCGGCGUGCUUAACACAUGCAAGUCGAACGGGCACUUCGGUGCUAGUGGCGAACGGGUGAGUAAUGCGCAGGUAAUCUGCCGCGAAGUCGGGGACAACGUUCCGAAAGGGACGCUAAUACCGGAUGUUGUAAGAUUUUUGCAUGAAGGUCUUACCAAAGAUUUAUCGCUUUGCGAGGAGCCUGCGUCCGAUUAGGCAGUUGGCGGGGUAAAAGCCCACCAAACCGACGAUCGGUAGCCGGUCUGAGAGGAUGAACGGCCACAAUGGAACUGAGACACGGUCCAUACUCCUACGGGAGGCAGCAGUGGGGAAUAUUCCACAAUGGGCGAAAGCCUGAUGGAGCGACGCCGCGUGAGUGAAGAAGGGUUUCGGCUCGUAAAGCUCUUUUCUGGUAGACGAAUGACCGAUUAGAUUGGUAGGGACGGUAUACUGGGAAUAAGUCACGGCUAACUACGUGCCAGCAGCCGCGGUAAUACGUAGGUGGCAAGCGUUGUCCGGAAUUAUUGGGCGUAAAGGGAGCGCAGGCGGGAGAUCAAGUCCAAAUUCAAAGUUCGGGAGUAAUGCCCGUGAUGGUUUGGAAACUGGUUUUCUUGAGAGCAGGAGAGGCAAGCGGAAUUCCCGGUGUAGCGGUGAAAUGCGUAGAUAUCGGGAGGAACACCAGUGGCGAAGGCGGCUUGCUGGACUGUGUCUGACGCUGAGGCUCGAAAGCCAGGGUAGCGAACGGGAUUAGAUACCCCGGUAGUCCUGGCUGUAAACGAUGAGUGCUAGGUGUGGCAGGUAUCGACUCCUGCCGUGCCGGAGUAAACGCAAUAAGCACUCCGCCUGGGGAGUACGGUCGCAAGACUGAAACUCAAAGGAAUUGACGGGGGCCCGCACAAGCGGUGGAGUAUGUGGUUUAAUUCGACGCAACGCGAAGAACCUUACCAAGCCUUGACAUCUGAGGAACCUGGAUGAAAGUUCGGGGUGCCCUUCGGGGAAUCUCAAGACAGGUGGUGCAUGGUUGUCGUCAGCUCGUGUCGUGAGAUGUUGGGUUAAGUCCCGCAACGAGCGCAACCCCUGCGAUAUGUUACCAGCGCGUAAAGGUGGGAACUCAUAUCGGACAGCCCGGGAUAACCGGGAGGAAGGCGGGGAUGACGUCAAAUCAUCAUGCCCCUUAUGGCUUGGGCUACACACGUACUACAAUGGGCUGAACAGAAGGCGGCAAAACCGCGAGGUAGAGCGAAACCCAAAAAGCAGUCCACAGUUCGGAUUGCAGGCUGCAACCCGCCUGCAUGAAGUCGGAAUCGCUAGUAAUCGCAGGUCAGCAUACUGCGGUGAAUACGUUCCCGGGCCUUGUACACACCGCCCGUCACACCACGGAAGUCGUUCACACCCGAAGUCCGGAAACGGCCUAAGGCGGGGGCGAUGACUGGGGUGAAGUCGUAACAAGGUAGCCGUAUCGGAAGGUGCGGCUGGAUCACCUCCUU
RNAcentral lists this ribosomal RNA (1496 nucleotides) under uncultured bacterium. RNAcentral's name for it is "bacterial SSU rRNA". It matches the Rfam family "Bacterial small subunit ribosomal RNA". The record is from RNAcentral.